Long non-coding RNA from Pogoniulus pusillus (Red-fronted tinkerbird), 652 nucleotides. RefSeq lists it as uncharacterized. The record is from RefSeq and is a predicted model, not a curated record. The transcript is spliced from 4 exons. Lineage: Eukaryota; Metazoa; Chordata; Aves; Piciformes; Lybiidae.
GCAUGGUGGGAGCUCAACUCUGGAUCAACAGUUUGCUCUUUGGCCUUGUACAUGCUGUGAGAUCAUGUGAGAAUUGUGUGCCUGAGGAGCUGGAUGAUGGGCUGCUCUCUUAAGUGGCUGCUGUGCUCAGGUGCAAGUUAACAAGAUUGUGCUGGGUUUAUAACCAACGAUUAACUUGCCACAGAGGUUGCAAGAGAAAUGUUCAGCCCACCUCACAGGCUCUUCUGAACCUCUUCACAGCAACUGCACAGACUGCAUGGAAGUGCAUGUGAUGGACAACAGGCUGGCAGCAGACAUGCAUAGACCUUGCUCUUGUGUAAGAGGCAUAAAGCUGGGCACAGCUCCACACUCUUUGCUACAAAUAACCACAUUGUUUGUGUUAGGAAAACAAAGGUAUCUUGAUGUGAUAUGCUGUGAUGUCACUUUCCUUUGUGCUACUGGAUCGCGUGGUUCAGACACACCAGUUUCUGUAGUCCGGAGGCUUGCACAGAUGUCUGAGUUGAUGCUAGGAUGGUCCCAGGACUCUGAGCCUCUCAGAAGGUGUUGGAGCAUCAGCAGCCAGGCACUGAAUUUUACUGGUUUAUGGAAAUUCCAAUUACAUGACUCUUCUACCUUAGGUAAAGACAUUUAAAUAAAACAUUCUAAACAAUGA